Molecule: ribosomal RNA, 401 nt
Filed under: uncultured bacterium
Lineage: Bacteria
Description: partial 16S ribosomal RNA
Rfam family: Bacterial small subunit ribosomal RNA
Source: RNAcentral
UGGGGAAUAUUGCACAAUGGGCGAAAGCCUGAUGCAGCAACGCCGCGUGAGUGAUGAAGGUCUUCGGAUUGUAAAGCUCUGUCUUUUGGGACGAUAAUGACGGUACCAAAGGAGGAAGCCACGGCUAACUACGUGCCAGCAGCCGCGGUAAUACGUAGGUGGCGAGCGUUGUCCGGAUUUACUGGGCGUAAAGGGUGCGUAGGCGGAUGUUUAAGUGAGAUGUGAAAUACCCGGGCUUAACUUGGGUGCUGCAUUUCAAACUGGAUAUCUAGAGUGCAGGAGAGGAGAAUGGAAUUCCUAGUGUAGCGGUGAAAUGCGUAGAGAUUAGGAAGAACACCAGUGGCGAAGGCGAUUCUCUGGACUGUAACUGACGCUGAGGCACGAAAGCGUGGGUAGCAAAC